UUUCAUAUGUUACAAUAGAAAAUGUAGAGAAGUGGAAGACGGUGGCUAUCCUGAAGGGUGGUGAUGCUUAUGGAUAUAGGCGUCCAAUCUAGGAAAGGAAAGGCCUUUUUGUGACUAUUUUUGAGUCGCUGCAAUUGAUGUUUGGUUUUGGAAUGUUCAUCAUUUCAUUAUUAACUUUGG
RNAcentral lists this small RNA (180 nucleotides) under Brochothrix thermosphacta. RNAcentral describes it as "Listeria sRNA rli28". It matches the Rfam family "Listeria sRNA rli28". The record is from Rfam by way of RNAcentral. Lineage: Bacteria; Bacillati; Bacillota; Bacilli; Caryophanales; Listeriaceae.